AGUGAACGCUGGCGGCAGGCCUAACACAUGCAAGUCGAGCGGCAGCACGGCAAUAGCAAUAUUGUGGGUGGCGAGCGGCGGACGGGUGAGGAAUGCAUCGGGAUCUACCCUGUCGUGGGGGACAACGUAGGGAAACUUACGCUAAUACCGCAUGAUCUGGAGACAGCAAAGCCGGGGACCCGCGAGGGCCUGGCGCGAUGGGAUGAGCCGAUGUCCGAUUAGCUAGUUGGCGGGGUAAAGGCCCACCAAGGCGACGAUCGGUAGCUGGUCUGAGAGGACGACCAGCCACACUGGAACUGAGACACGGUCCAGACUCCUACGGGAGGCAGCAGUAAGGAAUAUUGCUCAAUGGGAGAAAUCCUGAAGCAGCAACGCCGCGUGAGGGAUGAAGGGCUUUUGCUCGUAAACCUCUGUAGUGAGGGAAAAAUUUCCACUCUGUGGAAUAUGAUGGUACCUCAAAAGUAAGCCCCGGCUAACUACGUGCC
This 485-nucleotide ribosomal RNA is filed under the name uncultured bacterium. RNAcentral describes it as "bacterial SSU rRNA". It matches the Rfam family "Bacterial small subunit ribosomal RNA", at positions 29 to 509 of the family's 1533-position model. The record is from RNAcentral.